AGAGUUUGAUCCUGGCUCAGGAUGAACGCUAGCGGCAGGCUUAAUACAUGCAAGUCGAGGGGUAGCAUGAUUGUAGCAAUACAAUUGAUGACGACCGGCAAACGGGUGCGGAACACGUACACAACCUUCCUACAAGUGGGGAAUAGCCCAGAGAAAUUUGGAUUAAUACCCCGUAACAUAGCGAUGUGGCAUCACAUUGCUAUUAUAGCUUCGGCGCUUGUUGAUGGGUGUGCGGCUGAUUAGAUAGUUGGCGGGGUAACGGCCCACCAAGUCUACGAUCAGUAGCUGAUGUGAGAGCAUGAUCAGCCACACGGGCACUGAGACACGGGCCCGACUCCUACGGGAGGCAGCAGUAAGGAAUAUUGGACAAUGGACGCAAGUCUGAUCCAGCCAUGCCGCGUGAAGGAUUAAGGUCCUCUGGAUUGUAAACUUCUUUUAUAAGGGACGAAAAAAGGUCUUUCUAGAUCGUCUGACGGUACCUUAUGAAUAAGCACCGGCUAACUCCGUGCCAGCAGCCGCGGUAAUACGGAGGGUGCAAGCGUUAUCCGGAUUCACUGGGUUUAAAGGGUGCGUANGCGGGCAGGUAAGUCAGUGGUGAAAUCCU
Molecule: ribosomal RNA, 604 nt
Filed under: uncultured freshwater bacterium
Lineage: Bacteria
Description: bacterial SSU rRNA
Rfam family: Bacterial small subunit ribosomal RNA
Source: RNAcentral